Molecule: long non-coding RNA, 440 nt
Filed under: Homo sapiens (human)
Lineage: Eukaryota; Metazoa; Chordata; Mammalia; Primates; Hominidae
Description: non-protein coding lnc-PARPBP-7:1
Source: RNAcentral
GUGGUGGGCCCCAUGCCAGGGCAGUGGCUGCAGCAGCUGGCAGUGCUAGUCCUGAUUCUGGUGCUAGCCUGGGGGGCUGGUCUACUAUGGCAGGAGAAGGAUCAGCCCAUCUAUUUGGCAGUGAAGGGAGUGGGGCUUGAUGUCACCUCUGGAAAGGGGUUUUAUGGACAAAGAGCCCCCUACAAUGCCUUGACCAGGAAGGACUCUGCUAGAGGGGUAGCCAAGGUGUCCUUGGAUCAUGUAGACCUUACCUGUGACACACCACAGGUCUCAUAGCCAAGAAGUUGUAGUCCAUGGAUGAUGUCUUCACCAGUGUGUACAAAGCCAAACACCCAAUUGUCAGCUACAGGGCUCAGACAAUUCUCAAUGAGUUUGGCAGCCCCAACCUGGACUUCAAGGCUGAAGACCAGCCCCUUUUUGACAAGAAGGAGGGGUUCUGA